RNAcentral lists this ribosomal RNA (494 nucleotides) under uncultured bacterium. RNAcentral's name for it is "partial 16S ribosomal RNA". It matches the Rfam family "Bacterial small subunit ribosomal RNA", at positions 28 to 507 of the family's 1533-position model. The record is from RNAcentral.
GACGAACGCUGGCGGCGUGCUUAACACAUGCAAGUCGAACGGAAAGGCCUGCUUUCCCUUGUGGAUUGCGGGUACUCGAGUGGCGAACGGGUGAGUAACACGUGAGUGAUCUGCCCCCAACUUGGGUAUAAGCCUGGGAAACUGGGUCUAAUUCCCGAUAGGACUGCAGGGUGGUGCCUGUGGUGGAAAACGAUUUUCUAGUGGUUGGGGAUGAGCUCGCGGCCUAUCAGCUUGUUGGUGGGGUAAUGGCCUACCAAGGCGGCGACGGGUAGCCGGCCUGAGAGGGUGGACGGACACAUUGGGACUGAGAUACGGCCCAGACUCCUACGGGAGGCAGCAGUGGGGAAUAUUGCACAAUGGGCGGAAGCCUGAUGCAGCGACGCCGCGUGGGGGAUGACGACCUUCGGGUUGUAAACUCCUUUCGACCGCGAGGAAGCCACCUGGUUGGAAGGGUGGUGACGGUAGUGGUAGAAGAAGCACCGGCUAACUACGUG